Long non-coding RNA from Ceratina calcarata, 512 nucleotides. RefSeq lists it as uncharacterized. The record is from RefSeq and is a predicted model, not a curated record. Lineage: Eukaryota; Metazoa; Arthropoda; Insecta; Hymenoptera; Apidae. The transcript is spliced from 2 exons.
AAAGUGAAGUAUUCUGAUAAAUGAGCAUUUCUUCGAAAUCCCCAAGAUUUCCUGUCGAUCGUCAUACAGUUUUCCCACUUGUGGGGUAGAAGCACUCCUGAAAAUUGAAGAUUGAAGAUGAAUAAACUAAGGCUUUCAUUAUACAACCAAGCUAAAAAUUCCUUUGACUGCCAAUAAGUAUCUGAUGCUUCCCAAUCUCCAUCUGACCAUAUAAUCUCUGGCUCGUAUUUCUCUACUAAUUCUUGCAAUUCAGGCAAUAUCUUUUGUUUAACAAACACUUGUGUCGUGAAUUUGUUGUUUUUGUCGUAUAAAUAAAGGGGAUUGUACCAUUCGUACAUGGAAUGAUACAGACCAAAUUUCAAACUCGUCGAUUCCUUUAUUGCUGCGGCCAAUUCACCUAACAACAAAAAUAUAUAAUAAAUUCCAGAUCAUAGUAAUUGAAGAGACAAAAAUGUAUAGCUUGAUUGAUUCUAUCCACAAUUUAUGUUAAUAAAAAUUCAUGAAGUUUCAAA